UCUUUUUUUCUUUUUUCAUGCUAUGAAGGACAGUGAUCUUAGAGCAGCAGAGUGCCUCAGCCAUCUAAGACUUAGACCACUAAGUUUCUUCCUUCUAGCUCUUAUUUAUAAGUUUUGUGUUAUAUGAUAUUUGUCUUCCUGAAAAGCUGAGUGAAAAUUUGUGUAAAUCAAAUAAUAUUUCAAAUGUAUCAAGAGGCCUUGUGAUAAAGGAACCUUGAAAUUGUUUUCUAAUCUGAAAUAUUACCCACUAAUUUAUCUUGUUGAAAUUGAUCUCCAUAUAUCUUGUUAUUUUAAUGCAGCACACUUUCAUCACGUGGUUUAAAGGUUCUGCAAGACAGUCUUUGCCUCAGACUGUAUGAAAUGAUAGCCUGAAUCCAGGUUUUGAGUCAGUCAAUAUGAGCAAUCAGUUUCCGUCAUUUCCACUUACUGACUUUACCUGGAUUAAUGUGGAAAAUAGUAAUAAGACAACAUGGAUGGAUAAAGUUGACAAAUGAUUUUUUUAUUUGUUUAAACAUUUUCCACCUAUUUUAUCCUCAAAGUUACUAUUAAGAGGUCAAGAUGACUCCAAAUCUCUUGUGUCAAUACUAGAUUUACUGAAUCAGAAUUGCCGGGAUGGAUUCCAAAAUAUGCAUUGCUAACACAUUAGUGAAGUGAUACUAAUGCAUCCUAAGUUUUGAAAAAUAUUGCUCAAAUGAAUUUACUUUUCCAAAGCCAUUCAAUUGCAUUAUAUUCUAAUCUAAAAUUAUGAAUUCUUGUGCUUUCCAAUAUCAAUGUGAAUCUAGUUUUCUAAGCCUGACUGAACAUUUUUCUUGACUGAGGAAAGCAUAGCAAAAGACAACUAUACAUAAAAUGCUCAGGUUGCUUCCUGACAGACUGUUGUUUAUAGAUUUUAUUCCCCAUUAACUCUUUCGAGAAGCAUAUCUGAAAACAGUCUUAAGGCAGCUGGGUUAGUUAUUUGUUAGUUGCACCCAUGAAUAUAACAGCUGAAAAGCUGGGGGUGGGGAGAGAGGCAGGAAUUUAUGAUGUAUCAGGCACUACGUCCUCCUUGUCUCAUUCUUAAAACAUUUUAGGAAAGAAGUAUAACCACUAUUUUAAAGAAAGGGAAAUAAGGCUCAUGCUAAUUAAAUAACUUGCCAAGUCUCAGACAGUGGAGUUGAAGAUUCAAAUCUAGAUUUGUUCAACUCUAAGGAUGUGUUCCUAUCCCCCCACAGCAGAUUUUCAAAAGUGAGAAGAGAUCAUAAUCAAUAUAAUGAGGCUUCUAUAUUUUAAUGAAGGGGGGUGUUGAACACAGCAGAAAAAGAGUUUGCCUUUCUAUUUCCAAACAGAAAAAUUAUCUUACACUGUGUAGAGAUUUCCUCCAGAAUCCUAAACCAGCAGCAGCCUAAUGGAAAAAAACACCCAAUAUUUUGUUAAAGUUUUAUACAUGGUUUCAUAAAAAAAAGUAAACAGUUGAAGGAAAAAUCAUUCAAAACAUAAAUACCCCUAAAUAUUUAUGUUGUAUUUUCAUUUGCAAUCAUCUUAGCUCUUUUAUAAAUUUAUAGCCAAAAUAUGAUAAGGAAAUAUCAAUAAUAUAACCUUCAACUGGCCAAAAAAAGAGGUGAGGUUGCCAAUUUUAGCAAAAACUAUGUGGUUGAAUGGUCAAUAAAGUUACCAAGUGCAAAUGACAAGGUGGAGGAAAACACCAAUAAUCUACAGUCACAAAUUGUCAACUGGCAAUGACAUGGCUUGGGCUGCAGAGUAUUUCCUGUGAAUGAUUUUAAAUGGCAAUAUGCUUUAGAGGAGUAUUAUUUACACAGAUGAUAUGGGAUCUGGAAGCAUACUACAUCAAAGGAGGCUGAGAGAUAACCUUUAUAACAAGGCAGGCUCUACUUGUCCUACUCAGAAUGUAAUACAUGUUUAAAUAUAAAAUAAACGUCAUUUCCUUUUUUCAUUACUUGGAGAUGGAAAAAUAAAAUUAUUUUUUGAAACUUAUUUUUAAACUCACAUAUUGGAAAACAUCUUCCUCAGUCUCAGCUAUUCACAAGGAUUCUUAAAUAGUCUCUCGAUUCCUUUAGUGUCUCAGGAGCUUUUUAUUAAAUGACUGAGUUAUCGCUUCUAUCUCUCCCUGAAUGCUACAAGUAAUCCCAUUGGUUAAUCAUAUUAGCAUUUUACUCCAUCACAGGAUCUGAACAUGUAGCAUCCAUGAAAAACAAACUUUUAUAAUACAUACAGCAUUCAGGAGCCAGUGAAGCACUCUGUAAAUCAUGCCUCCUACUAAAAAUGAUCAUGUCUAUAACUGUGAUUAAAACUAGGCUAUAAAUUUAAAACAAUAAAUCCAGCAAAGAAAGAAAUUCUAGCACCCUAGAUCUAAUAUCAUUGUGUCUUCUCAUUCUGGCACCAUUACCACCAUACAGAAAUGUUAUCUGAAAUAUCUAGAAUAAUUCUUACUGGGAACAACAAAGAUGCUCCUGGUUUCUGGGUUGAAGACGUGGUGAAAGAAAACUAAGAAGACAAAAGUUACACAUAACAAGAUCCAUAAAUAUAAUGUCCUAAACAGUCUGAUGAAAAUGUGGUAAAAGAUUGGACCCUGCUGUUUUUCUGUUCUACCAUAAGGCAAUUAUCGGAGUAGAAUGGCCACCACAGUGGGGAGCUGGAAAUAUGAUUUUUAAAGUCCUCUCUAGAGGCCUUAUUUUAUAUUCAUUUAUAAAAUAAGAAAAUUAUUGCCUUGAGGCAAAAGCCUGCAAGCCCCAUACAAGCUCCGGUCUGACUUUACUUACACGGGAGAGGUCUAGGGAAAGGCAGUGAACAUCUCCACAUGCUAUACAGAGAAAAUCUUGAGAUCCUUGUGAUGUCAACAUUUUUUCACCUUUGGAUUUGAUGGAAGCUUAAGUUCAGUGUACUGGACAUCCUUCAAACCUUCUCUGCCAGUUUCCUCUUUAACAAACUUCAAACCUGAGUUUCUUGAGCCAAAGUUGGCUUUUACACACAGCUAUUUAACAAUGAACCCUCGUUAUACUUCAUCAUUUUGCUGAAGAAUUACAUAAUUAUGGUUGUAGCCCUUAUCGACUUUUCCCUUGCCUUUGGUUCCAGGUACGGGAUAAAACGUGUGAACUUGAUAUGGAACAUGGUACCACAGGGGGAUUGGAAGAUGAGCCUUCUAACAGAUAAACAUUUUAUGCAAUAUAAAAUAGAAAUGUAGUUUGGGGGCACUUGUUUUUAACUUAACAAUCUGAUACAGUUUUAAGAUAACGACAUGCUUUUCUGCUACUGAGAAUACAAACAUUAUUGUCUAUAAUGAA
Molecule: long non-coding RNA, 3278 nt
Organism: Sapajus apella (tufted capuchin)
Lineage: Eukaryota; Metazoa; Chordata; Mammalia; Primates; Cebidae
Exons: 2
Source: RefSeq, a predicted model, not a curated record